UAUCUCUGUAGAGUCUGCAUAUCAAUAAGCGGAGGAAAAGAAACUAACAAGGAUUCCCUUAGUAACGGCGAGUGAAGCGGGAAGAGCUCAAAUUUGAAAUCCUCAAGGUUUUACCUUGACGAAUUGUAGUUUAAAGAAGUGUUUUCUGUUGAAGUUUGAGUGCAAAGUUCUUUGGAAUAGGACAUCAUAGAGGGUGAGAAUCCCGUAUUUGACCAUUAUUUUCAGCUGUGUGAUACACUUUCAAAGAGUCGGAUUGUUUGGGAAUGCAGUCCAAAAUGGGUGGUAAAUUUCAUCUAAAGCUAAAUAUCGGCGAGAGACCGAUAGCGAACAAGUACCGUGAGGGAAAGAUGAAAAGAACUUUGAAAAGAGAGUUAAACAGUACGUGAAAUUGUCAAAAGGGAAGCGUUUGACACCAGUGUUGUUUUCUCGAAAAUCAAUUAAAAAAGGCUGGAUUUUGUGUUGUAUUGACUUUAUCAAGCUUUCUUCACUCUUUUCUUGUCUUUUUUAAUGCACUUUUCGUUUAACAAGUCAACAUCAGUUUCUUUUGUUGUAAAAGGGUCAUUGGAAGGUGGCUUUCUUUUCGGAGAAAGUGUUUAUAGCCUUUGGCCUCUGCAAUCGGAGAGAUUGAGGUCUGCAGCGUAGACUCCUUCGGGGUUAGAUACAUUUGUGCUAAGUUAUAGCCUUUUCAUAGACAACUUGUUGACUAUAUCAGUCAUGUAGGCUUACUCGCUUAUGCUAUUUUACCUACGCUUAGGAUGUUGAUGUGAUACUGCGAGCA
RNAcentral lists this ribosomal RNA (778 nucleotides) under uncultured Neocallimastigales. Its description in RNAcentral is "partial large subunit ribosomal RNA". It matches the Rfam family "Eukaryotic large subunit ribosomal RNA", at positions 24 to 646 of the family's 3401-position model. The record is from RNAcentral. Lineage: Eukaryota; Fungi; Neocallimastigomycota; Neocallimastigomycetes; Neocallimastigales.